RNAcentral lists this ribosomal RNA (789 nucleotides) under uncultured archaeon. RNAcentral describes it as "bacterial SSU rRNA". It matches the Rfam family "Archaeal small subunit ribosomal RNA", at positions 85 to 879 of the family's 1478-position model. The record is from RNAcentral.
ACUGCUCAGUAACACGUGGACAAUCUGCCCUGAAGUGGAGAAUAAUCCCGGGAAACUGGGGGUAAUACUCCAUAGUUCGUUAUUACUGGAAUGUUUUUCGAACGAAAGAUCCGUCGCUUCAGGAUGAGUCUGCGGCCGAUUAGGUAGUUGUUGGGGUAAUUGCCCAACAAGCCUGUAAUCGGUACGGGUUGUGGGAGCAAGAGCCCGGAGAUGGAUUCUGAGACACGAAUCCAGGCCCUACGGGGCGCAGCAGGCGCGAAAACUUUACCAUGCGGGCAACCGUGAUAAGGAAACCCCGAGUGCCAGCACAGGCUGGCUGUCCGCCAGUUUAAACAACUGGCGAAGAAAGGGCCGGGCAAGACCGGUGCCAGCCGCCGCGGUAAUACCGGCGGCUCGAGUGGUGGCCGCUAUUACUGGGCUUAAAGGGUCUGUAGCUUGAUAAUAGGGUCCCUUGAGAAAUCCGCCGGCUUAACUGGCGGGCGUUCAGGGGAAACUUGUUUUCUGGGGACCGGGAGAGGUGAGGGGUACUGCCGGGGUAGGAGUGAAAUCCUGUAAUCCCGGUGGGACCACCUAUGGCGAAGGCAUCUCACCAGAACGGGUCCGACAGUGAGGGACGAAAGCUGGGGGAGCAAACCGGAUUAGAUACCCGGGUAGUCCCAGCUGUAAACUAUGUGCGUUAGGUGUGUCAGUGACCACGUGUCACUGAGGUGCCGAAGGGAAACCGUGAAACGCACCGCCUGGGGAGUACGGUCGCAAGGCUGAAACUUAAAGGAAUUGGCGGGGGAGCAC